This 269-nucleotide ribosomal RNA is filed under the name uncultured prokaryote. RNAcentral describes it as "partial 16S ribosomal RNA". It matches the Rfam family "Bacterial small subunit ribosomal RNA", at positions 524 to 792 of the family's 1533-position model. The record is from RNAcentral.
UACGUAGGGUGCGAGCGUUGUCCGGAUUUACUGGGCGUAAAGGGAGCGUAGGCGGACUUUUAAGUGAGAUGUGAAAUACCCGGGCUCAACUUGGGUGCUGCAUUUCAAACUGGAAGUCUAGAGUGCAGGAGAGGAGAAUGGAAUUCCUAGUGUAGCGGUGAAAUGCGUAGAGAUUAGGAAGAACACCAGUGGCGAAGGCGAUUCUCUGGACUGUAACUGACGCUGAGGCUCGAAAGCGUGGGGAGCAAACAGGAUUAGAUACCCCGGUA